This 2139-nucleotide long non-coding RNA is filed under the name Pongo abelii (Sumatran orangutan). RNAcentral describes it as "lincRNA". The record is from RNAcentral. Lineage: Eukaryota; Metazoa; Chordata; Mammalia; Primates; Hominidae.
CCAUUGUUUUUAUUUUUUAAAGUAUUUUAUUUUACUUAACAAUCAGCAGUACAUAGUAGUUUGACAAAGCAGAAAGUGCAUGCAUUUCCCUUUCAGUGUUAACUUUGAACACCCGGCUGUCUCUCUUCAUGAAUAUUGAUGGAGAUAAGUGUUGGGCAUUGUAGUAAGGCAAAAAGAGAGAUGAAAAGAUGAAUGGAUGAAGAGACAGAAAGAAAACUGGCAUUGUUUAGUAAUAAAUAGGUUUAAUAGCAAAAAAAUUAAUGUUACUCAAAUUUAAAAACAAAAAGUAACUAGAGAACUAAAGAAAUUGUUGUUCUUCAAGAGAACUAUAUUGAACAAGAGAAAAUUCUUGUUUUGUAAUAUUUCUCUAUGAGUGAAAGAAAAAAGGUAAGACAGUUAUGAGAGAUUCACUGUGUUUGUAUCCACAUGAUUAGACAUUCAACCUUGCUUACAUUUCUUCUCCCUCUCUUUUGUCCUCUAUGGACUGUUUUUUAAAUUGUUGUAAAAUUAUUUUUACUUUGUCAAGAUUUACUUAUUUAAAUUUUUGUUCUGGACCCAUAUUUAUUCCUGUAACUGUUUUUCUCAAUUUAACAUUUAAAUUCUCAUUAUACCAUGUGUUCUACAUUGAUAAAUUAAAUGGUUCCAACCACCCUCUUACAAGGACAAAAAAGAAAAAAAUAUGUCUGGUCUUAACAACAAUGCAGUAAGCCAAGAAAGAAAAAUAAAAUGUAUAAAGAUUGGGGGAAAAAAACAGCCCUCAUUACCAUUCAUCCUGUAGUAAUUUUAUUCCCUAGUUCUUCACUCUGAUCCUUUCUUUUUUCUUAGAUGGGGGGGUGGAUUUAAGAAUCAAGUAGUUAAAAUGUUCUCCUCUCAACCUGUAUCUUGAAUAAUGAGAAGAAAAAUGUUCUUCUCUUUGUCUUUGCAUGUUUGAGAAUCCCUACUAAAUUUAUUAGCUCCAUAAUACAUUUUUGUUCUCAGAGUAAUUCAUAGCUUUUCAUCUCUCUUUGUAAAAAAAUCAUGUUGGGUGGUGUGUGUAUUUCAUUAAAUUCAUGUCCUUAUUGAAUUACUCUAUAGCACAAGCAUUUUUAGAAGAUUUCUUGUAUUCCUUGGAUCUUAGUUUUCCCAGAAUGUGUUCUUCCUUUGAUGUUUUUCGUACCAUGUUCUUUCUCUCCUGUAUUGGUGUUAUUUCUGUGCAUAAUGAUAAUGACAGGAUCCUUUUUAAAAAAUAUUAUUGAUCCUAACGUGGCUGGUUUUAGCCAGACCUCUAAUUGUCUGUAAUUAGUACAGAUGGGUUCCUGUAGACACUCCAAAAAUUUUUGUGACAUAUGUCUUCUAAGCUGCAUCUAAUGCAUUUGAUGUUGCAUUCUCUGUUCCUUUUUAAUAGCAGAGGCCUUGGGGUAGGGGAUGGGAGAACCUGUCUAAGAAAACCUUUAGCUCUUUGUUGUAGGCCUGAAGACUGUUCUUUUCCCUCUCAACUUUGAAUAAAUACUCCUGGGGUCUCAUUCUCCCAACUCUACAUAUUGCCUCAAAAAUUGGCAGGCUCCUGGCAGCCCCUCCCAGUGUCUGCAGAAGAGUAAUGUAUAAGGGCUUCUGCUCUUGAUGGUGUAUUUCCUUGAUUUUUCCUCUCAAGCUGCCUACUCUACCUGCAUCUCCCCAUCUUUUAACAGUGCCUAUUAAAUGAUGGCCUGUCAAUAUUGUUACUGUCAUUCCUAAACUGAUUUUCAAAGGAUUCUUUUUUUUUCUAUCAGAGAUAAAUCAUUUAGGAAGAGAUCCAUUUGAAGAUUCUUGUUUAUAAGCCAAAGAAGGGUUUCCAAAGAGGAAUAGUUUGAAGAUUGACAAAAAUGGGGAUAAUUUGUGAGAGUGAAUGCCUGGAGAGUAUCAGGGAACACCUGGAACAUACAACAAGAGGAUGCAUGGAAGGGCAACUUUUCCUUUGAUACAGGAAGGGAAAGACAUAUGGAUGAAAUGAGUGAAAUUAUACAGCAUUGGAAUUUCCCGUCGAUGGCUUCUUCUUCAGGUAACCACAAAGUCUGAGCACUAUGAAAAACACUUCCUGGGCCAGGCAGGGACUCCUGGUGGAUUGCCUGAGCUCAGGAGUUCAAGACCAGCCUGGGCAACAUGGUGAAGCCCCGUCUCUAC